This 592-nucleotide ribosomal RNA is filed under the name uncultured bacterium. RNAcentral's name for it is "bacterial SSU rRNA". It matches the Rfam family "Bacterial small subunit ribosomal RNA", at positions 338 to 942 of the family's 1533-position model. The record is from RNAcentral.
CCUACGGGAGGCAGCAGUGGGGAAUAUUGCACAAUGGGCGGAAGCCUGAUGCAGCGACGCCGCGUGAGGGAUGAAGGCCUUCGGGUUGUAAACCUCUUUUCAGCAGGGACGAAGCGUGAGUGACGGUACCUGCAGAAGAAGCACCGGCUAACUACGUGCCAGCAGCCGCGGUAAUACGUAGGGUGCGAGCGUUGUCCGGAAUUACUGGGCGUAAAGAGUUCGUAGGCGGUUUGUCGCGUCGUUUGUGAAAACCCGGGGCUCAACUUCGGGCUUGCAGGCGAUACGGGCAGACUUGAGUGUUUCAGGGGAGACUGGAAUUCCUGGUGUAGCGGUGAAAUGCGCAGAUAUCAGGAGGGACACCGGUGGCGAAGGCGGGUCUCUGGGAAACAACUGACGCUGAGGAACGAAAGCGUGGGUAGCAAACAGGAUUAGAUACCCUGGUAGUCCACGCCGUAAACGGUGGCGCUAGGUGUGGGUUCCUUCCACGGAAUCUGUGCCGUAGCUAACGCAUUAAGCGCCCGCCUGGGGAUACGGCCGCAAGGCAAAACGUCAAAGGAUUGACGGCUGGNGAGUUGCGAGNGANAGNGGAGNG